GGCGACGCUGAUGCCCUGCAGGAAGUGAUGCGGGGAAAAUUCUCAUUAUUAUCCACUCCGUAGAGACGGAGAAAAGGGGAAGGAAGGGGUAAGCGCAGAGAAAACAGGCAUUUAUAGUCAGGUAUCCGCAGUUUACACAUGAGGAUCCGCGAGAGUGGCACACGCGUAACACAGCCGAAGUAAAGGACGUCGGAAACGAGGUGAUUUCGAUGAGGAAGCUGCUCCGUGUUGCCUAACCCCGAGUGAGCCUGAGCCUCGGGAGCGAUGAGUGUCAGUUUCACGGUAUUCACCACGGUCUAGAAGCGACGUGGAUGCCGAACUCGGCCCACUGAAAUCGGCGAUGGUUCCUCCUUUCUUUAUGACCGGUGUGUUCAGGGAAGUCUGUGACCCGAUGGCAUGCUGAGGUGCGUGGCCAGCACAGAGCAGCGGCAUCGCGGCGGAGUCAGCCGGACCUGAGGCGCCGAGGGUGG
Paramormyrops kingsleyae is the source of this 470-nucleotide long non-coding RNA. RefSeq lists it as uncharacterized. The record is from RefSeq and is a predicted model, not a curated record. Lineage: Eukaryota; Metazoa; Chordata; Actinopteri; Osteoglossiformes; Mormyridae.